AGAGUUUGAUCCUGGCUCAGGAUGAACGCUGGCGGCGUGCCUAACACAUGCAAGUCGAGCGGGAAAUGGAAUUCAGAUGCUUCGGUUGACGAAUGCCAUGGAGAGCGGCGGACGGGUGAGUAACGCGUCGGCAACCUGCCCCUCACAGGGAGAUAGCCGAGGGAAACUUCGAGUAAUAUCCCAUGAUGCCUUGUGAUCACAUGAUCGAAAGGCCAAAGAUUUAUCGGUGAGGGAUGGGCCCGCGUCCGAUUAGCCAGUUGGCAGGGUAGCGGCCUACCAAAGCGACGAUCGGUAGCCGGCCUGAGAGGGCGGACGGCCACAUUGGAACUGAGACACGGUCCAGACUCCUACGGGAGGCAGCAGUGGGGGAUAUUGCACAAUGGAGGAAACUCUGAUGCAGCAACGCCGCGUGAAGGAGGAGGGCCUUCGGGUCGUAAACUUCUGUCCUCAAGGAAGAAAAAAAUGACGGUACCUGAGGAGGAAGCCCCGGCUAACUACGUGCCAGCAGCCGCGGUAACACGUAGGGGGCGAGCGUUAUCCGGAAUUACUGGGCGUAAAGAGUGCGUAGGUGGCUGAGCAAGCGCGGGGUUUAAUUUCACGGCCCAACCGUGAACCGCCCUGCGAACUGUUCAGCUUGAGUACAGGAGAGGAAGGCGGAAUUCCUAGUGUAGCGGUGAAAUGCGUAGAUAUUAGGAGGAACACCGGUGGCGAAAGGCGGCCUUCUGGACUGAAACUGACACUGAGGCACGAAAGCGUGGGUAGCAAACAGGAUUAGAUACCCUGGUAGUCCACGCCGUAAACGAUGAGCACUAGGUGUCGGGCUCGAGAGAGUUCGGUGCCGGAGCAAACGCAUUAAGUGCUCCGCCUGGGGAGUACGCACGCAAGUGUAAAACUCAAAGGAAUUGACGGGGACCCGCACAAGCAGCGGAGCAUGUGGUUUAAUUCGAAGCAACGCGAAGAACCUUACCAGAGCUUGACAUCCUCCUGACCGGGGAAGUAAUGUUCCCCUUCUCUUCGGAGCAGGAGUGACAGGUGGUGCAUGGUUGUCGUCAGCUCGUGUCGUGAGAUGUUGGGUCAAGUCCCGCAACGAGCGCAACCCUUGCUGUCAGUUGCCAUCAUUAAGUUGGGCACUCUGACGGGACUGCCGGGGAUAACCCGGAGGAAGGCGGGGAUGACGUCAAAUCAUCAUGCCCCUUAUGUUCUGGGCGACACACGUGCUACAAUGGCCGGCACAGAGGGAAGCGAAAGAGCGAUCUCAAGCAAACCCCUAAAGCCGGUCCCAGUUCGGACUGCAGGCUGAAACCCGCCUGCACGAAGUCGGAGUUGCUAGUAAUCGCGGAUCAGAAUGCCGCGGUGAAUGCGUUCCCGGGUCUUGUACACACCGCCCGUCACACCAUGGAAGCCGGGGGUGCCCGAAGUCGGACAAUGUCUGCCUAAGGCAAAACCGGUGACUGGGGUGAAGUCGUAACAAGGUAGCCGUAUGAGAACGUGCGGCUGGAUCACCUCCUU
RNAcentral lists this ribosomal RNA (1509 nucleotides) under uncultured bacterium. Its description in RNAcentral is "bacterial SSU rRNA". It matches the Rfam family "Bacterial small subunit ribosomal RNA". The record is from RNAcentral.